This is a long non-coding RNA of Myiozetetes cayanensis, 331 nucleotides long. RefSeq lists it as uncharacterized. The record is from RefSeq and is a predicted model, not a curated record. The transcript has 3 exons. Lineage: Eukaryota; Metazoa; Chordata; Aves; Passeriformes; Tyrannidae.
GUGAGCACUGCUUCCUAACCUCACUGUCCUUAACAGCCUGUGCUUUGCUGAAUUAAGUCAGUGUCUUCUCUUUGACAUACAGCUGCUGCUUCUCAGGGCACAGCAGAGUGCAGCUGGUGGCACAGCUUGUCAGCCAGCACAGUGCUGAUGGUUCUGAAGAGAAGCCAAGGCAGCAAAGAAAUAGCUUUCAGUGCAUUCCUGCUGGAGACCUGCACGGAUGAGCAAGGAGCUUCUGGCAAACCCCAGAUGGAAGAAUGAAGUUUACAGAAUGUGGAAAAAGGGACACACCGCUUGGAAGGAAGGUAGGAGUGCUGUCAGAGUAUGCAGGGAA